UACAGUGGGUGCAAGCGUUAAUCGGAAUUACUGGGCGUAAAGCGCGCGUAGGCCGUCGAGUAAGUCGGUUGUGAAAUCCCCGGGCUUAACCUGGGAAUUGCAGUCGAUACUGCUUGGCUAGAGUGUGGAAGAGGGAAGCGGAAUUUCCGGUGUAGCGGUGAAAUGCGUAGAUAUCGGAAGGAACACCAGUGGCGAAGGCGGCUUCCUGGUCCAACACUGACGCUGAGGCGCGAAAGCGUGGGGAGCGAACAGG
This 253-nucleotide ribosomal RNA is filed under the name uncultured bacterium. Its description in RNAcentral is "partial 16S ribosomal RNA". It matches the Rfam family "Bacterial small subunit ribosomal RNA", at positions 524 to 776 of the family's 1533-position model. The record is from RNAcentral.